RNAcentral lists this ribosomal RNA (497 nucleotides) under uncultured bacterium. Its description in RNAcentral is "bacterial SSU rRNA". It matches the Rfam family "Bacterial small subunit ribosomal RNA", at positions 51 to 527 of the family's 1533-position model. The record is from RNAcentral.
ACACAUGCAAGUCGAACGCGAAAGGGGCUUCGGCCCUGAGUAGAGUGGCAGACGGGUGAGUAACGCGUGGGUGACCUACCCUCGAGCGGGGGAUAACGUUCCGAAAGGGACGCUAAUACCGCAUGACAUCCUGUCCUUGGACGGAUGGUGAUCAAAGCUGGGGAUCGCAAGACCUGGCACUCGAGGAGGGGCCCGCGUCCGAUUAGCUAGUUGGUGAGGUAACGGCUCACCAAGGCUCCGAUCGGUAGCCGGCCUGAGAGGGCGGACGGCCACACUGGGACUGAGACACGGCCCAGACUCCUACGGGAGGCAGCAGUGGGGAAUUGUUCGCAAUGGGCGCAAGCCUGACGACGCAACGCCGCGUGGAGGAUGAAGAUCUUCGGGUCGUAAACUCCUGUCGAAUGGGACGAAUGGCUCGGCCGUGAAUAACGGCUGGGAAUGACGGUACCGUGAGAGGAAGCCCCGGCUAACUCCGUGCCAGCCGCCGCGGUAAUUCA